RNAcentral lists this ribosomal RNA (319 nucleotides) under uncultured soil bacterium. Its description in RNAcentral is "bacterial SSU rRNA". It matches the Rfam family "Bacterial small subunit ribosomal RNA", at positions 26 to 373 of the family's 1533-position model. The record is from RNAcentral.
AGAACGAACGCUGGCGGCAUGCCUAACACAUGCAAGUCGAACGAGACCUUCGGGUCUAGUGGCGCACGGGUGCGUAACGCGUGGGAAUCUGCCCUUAGGUUCGGAGUAACAGUUAGAAAUGACUGCUAAUACCGGAUAAUGUCUUCGGACCAAAGAUUUAUUGCCUAAGGAUGAGCCCGCGUAAGAUUAGCUUGUUGGUGAGGUAAAGGCUCACCAAGGCGACGAUCUUUAGCUGGUCUGAGAGGAUGAUCAGCCACACUGGGACUGAGACACGGCCCAGACUCCUACGGGAGGCAGCAGUGGGGAAUAUUGGACAAGU